AACGAACGCUGGCGGCAUGCCUAACACAUGCAAGUCGAACGAGACCUUCGGGUCUAGUGGCGCACGGGUGCGUAACGCGUGGGAACCUGCCUUUAGGUUCGGAAUAACUCAGAGAAAUUUGAGCUAAUACCGGAUAAUGUCUUCGGACCAAAGAUUUAUCGCCUUUAGAUGGGCCCGCGUUGGAUUAGCUAGUUGGUGGGGUAAAGCCUACCAAGGCGACGAUCCAUAGCUGGUCUGAGAGGAUGAUCAGCCACACUGGGACUGAGACACGGCCCAGACUCCUACGGAGGCAGCAGUGGGAAUAUUGGACAAUGGG
Molecule: ribosomal RNA, 316 nt
Filed under: uncultured bacterium
Lineage: Bacteria
Description: bacterial SSU rRNA
Rfam family: Bacterial small subunit ribosomal RNA
Source: RNAcentral